CGGAGGCUACCGCUAUUGGAGUUCGAUUAAGCCAUGCGAGUCGAGAGUCUUAGGGACUCGGCGUACCGCUCAGUAACACGUGGGUAACCUGCCCUAUGCUGGGGAAUAACCUCGGGAAACUGAGAAUAAUGCCCCACAGUCCACAAUGCCUGGAACGGUUUGUGGAUCAAAGCUCCGGCGGCAUAGGAUGGGCCUGCGGCGUAUCAGGUUGUAGGGGGUGUAACGUACCCUCUAGCCAUCAACGCGUACGGGUGUUGGGAGACAUAGCCCGGAGAUGGAUUCUGAGACACGAAUCCAGACCCUACGGGGUGCAGCAGGCGCGAAAACUUGGCAAUGCGAGAAAUCGUGACCAGGGAACUCCAAGUGACUGGGGUAAGACCCAGUCUUUUCUUGACUCUUCAAAGGUCUUGGAAUAAGGGGUGGGUAAGGACGGUGCCAGCCGCCGCGGUAAUACCGGCGCCUCAAGUGGUAGUCGAUUUUAUUGGGCCUAAAACGUCCGUAGCCUGUUUGGUACAUUCGUGGGUAAAUCAACCAGCUCAACUGGUUGAAUUCUGCGAGCACGGCCAGACUUGGGACCGGGAGAGGUGUGGGGUACGCUCAGGGUAGGGGUAAAAUCCUGUCAUCCUGAGCGGACCACCUGUUGCGAAGGCGCCACACUAGAACGGAUCCGACGGUCAGGGACGAAGCCUAGGGGCACGAACCGGAUUAGAUACCCGGGUAGUCCUAGGUGUAAACGCUGUGGACUUGGUGUUGGGGACUCUCCGAGAAUCCUCAGUGCCGAAGCGAAGGUGAUAAGUCCACUGCCUGGGGAGUACGGUCGCAAGGCUGAAACUUAAAGGAAUUGGCGGGG
RNAcentral lists this ribosomal RNA (850 nucleotides) under uncultured archaeon. RNAcentral's name for it is "bacterial SSU rRNA". It matches the Rfam family "Archaeal small subunit ribosomal RNA", at positions 18 to 873 of the family's 1478-position model. The record is from RNAcentral.